Molecule: long non-coding RNA, 197 nt
Organism: Amphimedon queenslandica
Lineage: Eukaryota; Metazoa; Porifera; Demospongiae; Haplosclerida; Niphatidae
Exons: 2
Source: RefSeq, a predicted model, not a curated record
GAUUGUCACUUAUUGAUGCCAUAAAGACCAUGGAUACUUACAGUCGUCUUAAUGACUCAAUCAUUGGAGUAAUAAAACAAACAGUUGUCAAUCCAGAGGUAGAAAAAUUGAUACAAUUUCUUGAAACUUCAAAGCUUUUUAUACCAAUUGGCUAUUUUAAAUAUUGCCAAUUACCAUCAGGAGGUGCACAAGAAAUG